UACGAAGGGGGCUAGCGUUGUUCGGAAUUACUGGGCGUAAAGCGCACGUAGGCGGAUACUUAAGUCAGGGGUGAAAUCCCGGGGCUCAACCCCGGAACUGCCUUUGAUACUGGGUAUCUCGAGUCCGGAAGAGGUGAGUGGAAUUCCGGGUGGAGUGGUGAAAUGCGUAGAUAUCCGGAGGAAUACCAAAGGCGAAGGCAGUGUCCUGGAGGGUUAACUGACGCUGAGGCGCGAAAGCUAGGGGAGCGAACAGG
RNAcentral lists this ribosomal RNA (254 nucleotides) under uncultured bacterium. Its description in RNAcentral is "partial 16S ribosomal RNA". It matches the Rfam family "Bacterial small subunit ribosomal RNA", at positions 524 to 776 of the family's 1533-position model. The record is from RNAcentral.